Long non-coding RNA from Brassica napus (rape), 2393 nucleotides. RefSeq lists it as uncharacterized. NCBI's taxonomy places the organism in Eukaryota, Viridiplantae, Streptophyta, Magnoliopsida, Brassicales, Brassicaceae. The record is from RefSeq and is a predicted model, not a curated record. The transcript is spliced from 2 exons.
AUUUUCUUUUAAAUUUUAUGUUUUUAUGUUAGUAACUUAAUAGAACCAUAAUCAAAAUACCAAAGCAAAUCUGAAUUCUCAUUUUUAAGAUUAUUUAAAAUAAAUUUUAGUCUUCAUUCAAUAAAUCAAAGGUAUAAAGUUAUUUAGAAUUUAUAAAAUAUUUUAAUUAUUGUAAAUAUUGAUAUGUACUCAUGAGAUUUCAAAAAUGUAUUAGUUACUUACGCAUGUAACUUCCUAUUGAUCAUCGUUUUAUAUUUUAAUAUAUUUUUUUACAAACAUCAACAUAUAAUUUGAUAAAUAUUAUGAAAAUACAUGCACAUUUGACUUAAUUAUAAUAAAAAAUAAUUAUACUUCAUUUUGAAUUUGAAAGAAUAUAUGUAACUCAAUAUACUCACAACAUGAGUGAUUCGACUAAUCCAACUUAUAUCUAAAAUCAUAUAUUUAACUACGAUAAGAAUAUAUAAUUUUAUAAGAAUAGUAAUUUAUUUUAUAAAUAUAAAUCAUAGGACAACUCAAAGCAUAUUAAAAAUGAAAAUAGAAUAUUAACCACCUUUUACAAUUUAGAUCUUUUGUAAAAUUUAUAUAUAUGCAUGAGACUUCAGAAUAUUGUCGUUUCGUUAUAUUAAUUUAUGUAAUUUGGAAUCAGACACUUUAAUUUAUUUAUUUUAUUUCAUUCUAAGCACAAUAUAUCUUAAGUUAUACAUAAUCUUCAUAAAAUGUAUUCACAUAUCUAAGAUAACAACUACCUAAAUGUAAAUAAGAAAUUAACCAAAAUUUUAAUAUAUAGAACAAAAACAUUACAGUUGAAUUCGUAGAUCCAAUCCAAUUUACCUAAAUGAUAACUAAAUCAAUUGAAAAACAACAAAAUCGAUUAGAUAUAACAUAUAUAAAAUCAUAUGUAUAAUUAAAGUAACAUAAUAUUAUUAAUAUAAAUGAUGCAUAUAAAUUAUAAAUUAAUUUAAAAUUAAAAGUAAGUGACAAUCAAUUAUUAUAAUAUAUUUACUUUAAAAAUAUUUAUACUCGUGCAUGAGCACGGGAAAAUCACCUAGUUCCUUAUUAGUAGACAUGAAUACAGGUAGGUCGAUGUCAAAAAAGAAAGAAAGAAUACUGGUAGGUCUAUGUAACAUCCAGUUAAUUUGUUAUAUAUGGUAAAGGGGUUAAAAGAAUUGUUUUGAUUAUUUUUGUCAUUAAAUUGCAUUUAUAUUUUUGGUUCGAAAAAAACUCUAAAGUUAAACGUUGUUGAAUUUGAACUGGAGUAGUGAAAAUAUAGAUUGGUUUGUAAUAUUGUGCAAGUAAAGUCACAAAAGAAAACUCAUGUGGUUGUUUUAAAUAAUAAAACAAUUCUUUCAAGUUUUUCAAAAAUUAAGGCACUAAGAGCAUAAUUAUUGGGGGUUCUUAGAGUGAGAUUUUUAUCGGAAUAUAAGAAUCCGUCUCUUAACUUUUAACUACAAAAGCUAAGAACCGACUCUUAAAACUCUUAUUUAAAAACUGGUUCUUAGCUUUUUUAGUUAAAAGUUAAGAGACAAUUUCUUAACUUCUGCUAAAAACCUCACUCUAAAAACCCCGGGUUAAUCAUGGUCUAAUAAAUGUUGACAUCUACGUGCCGAGUAAAAAGGUGUGGGAGACCCAUUAGCCAUUGGGCGCUGGUAGUUGGAGCGUUACAGUUUCAAUAUUCAUAUUUUGUGUGAAUGUUUUUAAAAAGGUUGUGUGAAAGUUUGAAGAAGAUUAUUCACUUUGAAUCAAACAUCAUCCCAUCUAAACCUCAAAUACGAACUAGUUCCUCUCUCUAACGAUGGCAUCGAAAUAAUUAUAUCUGGAUUGACUGAAAACAUCGGUAUGUUAGGCGGUUUGUCUUGAUCGACCAAAAUUGAUUCGAGAUCUCGGAUUUAGCAAAACAACAAGGUUUAUAGUCUUCUGGAAUCCUUUCGCUAACACCAUGGAUACAUCACGCUAUGAGGAAACUGUAGUAGUGUUGCUUUGGAUAAUGGUGGUGAUGUCCGUCAUUGUUUUUCUUUUCGGUUCUUGUAUUUGUGUUAAAUGUUCCUUGCGGGCAUGUAAAGAGAACGAUGAAGAAAUUGUGCAUCUGAAUAUCAAAGCAUGAAUCUAAACCCAAGAGCAUGAAAGAUGGACAACGAUCAAGGCAAAGCAUAACCUUUGCAAAUCAAGAUAUUUUUAGUGAUUAGGAAUUAGGGAAAAGCUUUAAGACUUUUACUCUUAAUAGGGUUUAUCGUUCGAAGUUCUUUUUAUUUUCUGGUUAUACGUGGGUUUUAAAUAUUUGCUUGAUUUUUAUUACGUUCUUUAUGUUUUCUUAUGGAAUUUGCUUCAUCAGUCUCUCUUUUCUCUCUGUUAAAAUACAUGAAAUUUACAUCAAUAAUCUUGUGGUUAUCUAUUUA